AUGUUUCCUUGGAAUAUCGGCGUUGAUGUCGAGUAUACCAGGGAAGACAAACCUCCGCAAAUUGCUACAGUUCUGCAGUUAUGCGUGGAGGAUCUCGUCCUGGUAUACCACAUCACCGCGGCAACCAAAUGGCCCAAGGAACUCCGCCCGCUCCUGCAGGAGAAGAAGCUGUACACCUUUGUUGGCUUCUGCAUUGGAGGCGACAAGGAGAAGCUGAAGUUGUCUGGUUUAGAGAUCAACCCCGACAAGUAA
Molecule: ribosomal RNA, 252 nt
Filed under: Triticum aestivum (bread wheat)
Lineage: Eukaryota; Viridiplantae; Streptophyta; Magnoliopsida; Poales; Poaceae
Description: partial small subunit ribosomal RNA
Source: RNAcentral